Molecule: ribosomal RNA, 372 nt
Filed under: uncultured organism
Description: bacterial SSU rRNA
Rfam family: Bacterial small subunit ribosomal RNA
Source: RNAcentral
CGAAGGGUGCAAGCGUUACUCGGAAUUACUGGGCGUAAAGCGUGCGUAGGUGGUUUGUUGAGUCUGUCGUGAAAUCCCCGGGCUCAACCUGGGAAUGGCGAUGGAUACUGGCAAGCUAGAGUGAGGUAGAGGAGAGUGGAAUUCCCGGUGUAGCAGUGAAAUGCGUAGAGAUCGGGAGGAACAUCAGUUGCGAAGGCGGCUCUCUGGACCAUCACUGACACUGAGGCACGAAAGCGUGGGGAGCAAACAGGAUUAGAUACCCUGGUAGUCCACGCCCUAAACGAUGCGAACUGGACGUUGGGCUCAAUUAGGAGCUCAGUGUCGAAGCUAACGCGUUAAGUUCGCCGCCUGGGGAGUACGGUCGCAAGACUG